RNAcentral lists this ribosomal RNA (325 nucleotides) under uncultured eukaryote. RNAcentral's name for it is "partial 18S ribosomal RNA". It matches the Rfam family "Eukaryotic small subunit ribosomal RNA", at positions 1470 to 1796 of the family's 1831-position model. The record is from RNAcentral.
CCCUUAGAUGUUCUGGGCCGCACGCGUGCUACACUGACCGGCGCAACAAGCUUUUUUCCUUGGCUCGACAGGCCUGGGUAAUCUUCGAACGCCGGUCGUGAUGGGGAUAGAUCCUUGCAAUUUUUGAUCUUCAACGAGGAAUUCCUAGUAAAUGCGAGUCAUCAUCUCGCGUUGAUUACGUCCCUGCCCUUUGUACACACCGCCCGUCGCACCUACCGAUUGAAUGGUCCGGUGAAAUCUCCGGACUGGCGUGAGUCGGAGCAAUCUGACAAACGCCGGAAAGUUGAUUAAACCUUACCAUUUAGAGGAAGGUGAAGUCGUAACA